This 71-nucleotide transfer RNA is filed under the name Camelus bactrianus (Bactrian camel). It matches the Rfam family "tRNA". Rfam says of the family: Transfer RNA (tRNA) molecules are approximately 80 nucleotides in length. Their secondary structure includes four short double-helical elements and three loops (D, anti-codon, and T loops). The record is from Rfam by way of RNAcentral. Lineage: Eukaryota; Metazoa; Chordata; Mammalia; Artiodactyla; Camelidae. RNAcentral also lists the same sequence under 2 other names.
GAGGGUAUAGCUCAAUGGUAGAGCGCUUGCCUAGCAUGCACAAGGUCCUGGGCUCAAUCCCCAUACCUCCA